RNAcentral lists this ribosomal RNA (830 nucleotides) under Massilia aurea. Its description in RNAcentral is "bacterial SSU rRNA". It matches the Rfam family "Bacterial small subunit ribosomal RNA", at positions 89 to 917 of the family's 1533-position model. The record is from RNAcentral. Lineage: Bacteria; Pseudomonadati; Pseudomonadota; Betaproteobacteria; Burkholderiales; Oxalobacteraceae.
CGGAAAGUGGAAAACGGGUGAGUAAUAUAUCGGAACGUACCCAAGAGUGGGGGAUAACGUAGCGAAAGUUACGCUAAUACCGCAUACGAUCUAAGGAUGAAAGCAGGGGAUCUUCGGACCUUGUGCUCCUGGAGCGGCCGAUAUCUGAUUAGCUAGUUGGUGAGGUAAAGGCUCACCAAGGCCACGAUCAGUAGCUGGUCUGAGAGGACGACCAGCCACACUGGAACUGAGACACGGUCCAGACUCCUACGGGAGGCAGCAGUGGGGAAUUUUGGACAAUGGGCGAAAGCCUGAUCCAGCAAUGCCGCGUGAGUGAAGAAGGCCUUCGGGUUGUAAAGCUCUUUUGUCAGGGAAGAAACGGUCUGGGCUAAUACCCUGGGCUAAUGACGGUACCUGAAGAAUAAGCACCGGCUAACUACGUGCCAGCAGCCGCGGUAAUACGUAGGGUGCAAGCGUUAAUCGGAAUUACUGGGCGUAAAGCGUGCGCAGGCGGUUUUGUAAGUCUGACGUGAAAUCCCCGGGCUCAACCUGGGAAUUGCGUUGGAGACUGCAAGGCUAGAAUCUGGCAGAGGGGGGUAGAAUUCCACGUGUAGCAGUGAAAUGCGUAGAGAUGUGGAGGAACACCGAUGGCGAAGGCAGCCCCCUGGGUCAAGAUUGACGCUCAUGCACGAAAGCGUGGGGAGCAAACAGGAUUAGAUACCCUGGUAGUCCACGCCCUAAACGAUGUCUACUAGUUGUCGGGUUUUAAUUAACUUGGUAACGCAGCUAACGCGUGAAGUAGACCGCCUGGGGAGUACGGUCGCAAGAUUAAACUCAAAGGAAUUGACGGA